GGAAGUAAAAGUCUAACAAGGUUUCCGUAGGUGAACCUGCGGAAGGAUCAUUAUUGUAUAACCGAGGUGCGAGGGCUGUCGCUGACCCGAAAGGUCGUGCACGCCCGAGUGCCCUCACACACAUCCAUCUCACCCCUAUGUGCACCACCGCGUGGGUCCCCCUUUGGCUUGUUCGGAGGGGGGCUUACGUUUUCACACAGACUUUGUAUGCAGUGUAGAAUGUAUUUUUUGUUUUUGCGAUCACGCAAUCAAUACAACUUUCAACAACGGAUCUCUUGGCUCUC
Molecule: unclassified non-coding RNA, 284 nt
Filed under: plant metagenome
Description: partial contains small subunit ribosomal RNA, internal transcribed spacer 1, and 5.8S ribosomal RNA
Rfam family: Eukaryotic small subunit ribosomal RNA (bases 1-53)
Source: RNAcentral